AACGCACCUUGCGCUCCUUGGUAUUCCGAGGAGCAUGCCUGUUUGAGUGUCAUUAAAUUCUCAACUUCAUCAGUUUUGUUAUAAAGCUGUGUGAAGCUUGGAUGUGGGGGUUUGUGCAGAGUGCGUAAAAAGCAACCUGCUCCCCUUAAAUAAAUUAGCGAGUUCAAACUAGGCUCCGUCUAUUGGUGUGAUAAUUAUCUAUGCCGUGGAUUGGGCUUAGACUUGCUUCUAACCGUCCGCAAGGACAAUCUUUUGACAAUUUGACCUCAAAUCAGGUAGGACUACCCGCUGAACUUAA
RNAcentral lists this unclassified non-coding RNA (298 nucleotides) under uncultured fungus. RNAcentral's name for it is "sequence contains ITS2". The stretch from base 1 to 52 matches the Rfam family "5.8S ribosomal RNA", at positions 103 to 154 of the family's 154-position model. Lineage: Eukaryota; Fungi. The record is from RNAcentral.